This 1325-nucleotide long non-coding RNA is filed under the name Lotus japonicus. RNAcentral's name for it is "long non-coding RNA (LJAP_LNC001723)". The record is from RNAcentral. Lineage: Eukaryota; Viridiplantae; Streptophyta; Magnoliopsida; Fabales; Fabaceae.
AAAAAGUGGAGGGAUAGUCGUGCGCGGUUGUUUGCUGAAUGUUAUAAACCUGCACUUGGAAAAGUGAUGGCUCUUUUGUAAAUGAAGAAGCAAAACAAAAGAGUGUGAGUAUAGUUACAAGUUUCUAUUUCCUUUGAAAAUUUUAUAACUAUCAAAUAUGCUUUGUAUGUUUGAUGGCAUGCACAUGUUUAAUUUUUUGUGUAGGAUUUAUUGGAGAAGGAACUUGAAAAGAAUUGUUCUGAAGAGGCUGCCUUACCGGGAACCACGAAGAUGAUGAGCCAUACAUUAAAGCUUCUGAAGCACAAAUGAUUUAUUAUGUUGGUGAUGAGAAAGAAAAGGGUUGUGUAUACCUAUUCUUUUAAAGUCAAUGGACCUAUAUGACAUGGGUCCAUCACAAGAUUUGGAGCAAUUAUUUCCUGAUGAUGAUACUGAGAAUAUACAAUUGGCUAGAGAUGUUAUGGAUGAUGAUCCUUCAACUUGAUGCCUAUGAACAUGAUCUGACUUGUAUUUAAUUUCAGUUGUUAAUGUAAUUCAGUUCCAUUUGAUGUCUAUGAACAUGAUCUGACUUGUUUUAUGUGAAUGUUGACUCUUGCUUGAGUUUUAAUGUAAUUCAUACUCUUGCUUGUUUCAUUCCUAAGUGCAGUUAAACUUGCAUUUUUUUGAUCAGUUACUACCAACUUAUGUUCUCUGAUUUGUUAUCAAGAUAGCUGAAUGUAAUUAGUUACAUGAAAAUGUCUCAUUAUUUGAAUCAUGCAUUUCAUGUUAAACUUUAACUCAUGCCUCUUGAAUCAUGCAUUUAAUUUCAUCAUUCCUAGUUGUUUCGAAGAUUACUAACAUCUUUGUUUUAUAGGAAUGGCUAAAAGAAAGAGGUUCGCUCCUAGAACUCUUUCUACACCAACACAAAUUCAGGGUAAUGCUUCUACCAUUAGUGAAAGUGCAUCCCAUGCUUCAGCACAUAGUGAGCCCGUAGUUCCUACUAGCUCAUUCAUCCCAUCCAUUAGUGUUGCAUCACAAAGCCCCCAAACUGCUUUUAUCAUUUAGUAAUUAAAUUUGUCUUUUGAAGAGAAAAUUCCUAGUCAAUGAUGGGCAGCAUAAGAAGUGGAUACUAAAAAAUAUUGGAAAAAAGUGGAGGGAUAGUCGUGCGCGGUUGUUUGCUGAAUGUUAUAAACCUGCACUUGGAAAAGUGAUGGCUCUUUUGUAAAUGAAGAAGCAAAACAAAAGAGUGUGAGUAUAGUUACAAGUUUCUAUUUCCUUUGAAAAUUUUAUAACUAUCAAAUAUGCUUUGUAUGUUUGAUGGCAUGCACAUGUUUAAUUUUUUGUGUAGG